UGGGGAAUAUUGGGCAAUGGGCGAAAGCCUGACCCAGCAACGCCGCGUGAAGGAAGAAGGUCUUCGGAUUGUAAACUUCUUUUAUGAGGGACGAAGGACGUGACGGUACCUCAUGAAUAAGCCACGGCUAAAUACGUGCCAGCAGCCGCGGUAAUACGUAGGUGGCAAGCGUUAUCCGGAUUUACUGGGUGUAAAGGGCGCGUAGGCGGGGAUGCAAGUCAGAUGUGAAAUCUAUGGGCUCAACCCAUAAACUGCAUUUGAAACUGUAUCUCUUGAGUGCUGGAGAGGUAGAUGGAAUUCCUUGUGUAGCGGUGAAAUGCGUAGAUAUUAGGAGGAACACCAGUGGCGAAGGCGGCUUUCUGGACGACAACUGACGCUGAGGCGCGAAAGUGUGGGGAGCAAACAGG
This 407-nucleotide ribosomal RNA is filed under the name uncultured bacterium. Its description in RNAcentral is "bacterial SSU rRNA". It matches the Rfam family "Bacterial small subunit ribosomal RNA", at positions 355 to 776 of the family's 1533-position model. The record is from RNAcentral.